CUGAGGUCUAGUAGUGUCUCUCUUCUCUCUCUCUCUGCUAAGGCAUGGGUAUGAGUUUGUUCUUAGGGUUUAGUUUUUUUCCAUCUUCAAGCUUUGGCUAAACUUUCAAGUUUGUUUUGAUAGGGGCCGGGAGGGCAGCAAGCUAUGGCUUUGAAGAGCAGUAACAACAUCCAGAUUUUUCUGGAUUCGGUUAGGGUUUUGGUUUUUCCAAUUUUAGGUUUGGUUUUCUUAGAAUGCGUUUGACGAGCAAUAACAACAUCCAUAUUUUUCUGAAUUCGGUUGCGGUUUUGUUUUUUUUACAAUUUUAGGUUUGUUUUUCUUAGAAUGCGUCGAAUUGAAACAAUCCGGAGUCGAGUUCGUACUCUCCGUUCGUCGGUCUAGAUUUCGAUUUCCCUCCUUUCUGUUCGGAAAAUUGUCUGCCAAAAUCCGGUUAGGUUUUGGUUUUCCUUCCCUGUUUGCAAAAUCAUCGUGUUCUUUUGAGGUGGGUUCGGUUUUUAUUUUUCAAUCAUCUCCUUGUAAAAUCGUCCUGUUUUUUUUCUUAAUUAAACUGCCAAAUAACCGAUUAUCGUGUUGAAUGGACUGUUUUUCUUGUCUCAUGUGGUUCAUGUAAGCUAGUUUAUACUUGAAAAGUUUUUCAUCGAUAUUGGAGUUUUAUUGCUAGUUUGUCGUUUGAUCUCUCAUGUUAUUUAGUAUUUUCUGUUGUGAUUUUUCUUAAUGUGCCGCCACAUUCUUGAAAUGUUGCUGGAGAUCUUAGUCCUUACAUGAGCAUUCUCUCCUUUAUGCUGUAGUCUUUCACAUCGAUAUGCUGAAUGCUUCAUAUUUUGAACACUAUAUCUGCUACAUUAAGGACUUCUCUGGAAAUUGGUACAGGAUUGAUGAUCGUAAGGUUGGUCCCUUUCUCUCCUCCCACUGUUGCGUACACAGACACAACAAAUGCUUCCUGCGCUUAUUAUGGUUGUUUUCGAUACUGCUACUGGAUAAUGUUGGCAUUGAUAUUUGUGAGGUCCAUAUAGGUAAAGUUUUUUUUUUGUAUGGUUGACGUUAAAGCUGAAGCUUAUUCUGAGGUAAUGCACGAGCUCCGAUAGUAGUUCUUUUGUAUCAUUUAACAUCUCAUUGGAGUAUAUUAUUUGUGUUCUCCAAGACUAACGUAUUUUCACUUUCUUGGCUGCCACUUUCCUUCAGGUUGUUAAAGUUGAUUUGGAAGAGGUGCUAUCUCAGGGAUAGUACAUGAUUUUGUACUCCAGUAUGAGCGUUCAAGAGUUUGAAGAUUAGCGGGAGAUGAUCUUCAACUUUCUAUUAUGUUCAGAUUAUUUGGGUAAGAUAUGAUUUCCUCAUGUGAAAAAUUUCUACCAUUCUAUUUGGGUUCUUGAAAUUGACAGAGUACUUUAGGUUCAUAUCAUUUGGUAAAAUAUGAUUUUGCUGAUUUUUACCAUUCUAUUUGGUUUCUCAAAAUGUAUGAGUAUUCUAGGUUUUGAAGAUUUAUGAGUUACUUUAUCUCUUGUUUAAAAUUUCUAACAAAGCACUUAAUUUUGAUGUCAAAUAGUAUGAGUGUUCUAGAGUUUGAAGAUUAGCGGGAGAUGAUCUUCAAAUUCCUAGUAUGUUCAUAUUAUUUGAGUUACUUUAUCAUCUUUAAAAUUUCUAACAAAACACUUAAGUUUGAUGUCAAAUAGUAUGAGUGUUCUAGAGUUUGAAGAUUAGCGGGAGAUGAUCUUCAAAUUCCUAGUAUGUUCAUAUUAUUUGGGUAAGAUAUGAUUUUC
Molecule: long non-coding RNA, 1757 nt
Organism: Cucurbita maxima (winter squash)
Lineage: Eukaryota; Viridiplantae; Streptophyta; Magnoliopsida; Cucurbitales; Cucurbitaceae
Exons: 3
Source: RefSeq, a predicted model, not a curated record